This 85-nucleotide non-coding RNA is filed under the name unclassified sequences. The record is from Rfam.
UAGCCAGGGGGCCGGGUUGCUCUGUUGCUUGGAGCGACCCAAGGGUACAGGGAGUACCUUCGACAAGGGCCAGGCUCGGUGCUGG